AAAGCGUGCGCAGGCGGCUUUGCAAGACAGAUGUGAAAUCCCCGGGCUCAACCUGGGAACUGCAUUUGUGACUGCAAGGCUAGAGUACGGCAGAGGGGGAUGGAAUUCCGCGUGUAGCAGUGAAAUGCGUAGAUAUGCGGAGGAACACCGAUGGCGAAGGCAAUCCCCUGGGCCUGUACUGACGCUCAUGCACGAAAGCGUGGGGAGCAAACAGGAUUAGAUACCCUAGU
This 230-nucleotide ribosomal RNA is filed under the name uncultured bacterium. RNAcentral's name for it is "partial 16S ribosomal RNA". It matches the Rfam family "Bacterial small subunit ribosomal RNA", at positions 562 to 791 of the family's 1533-position model. The record is from RNAcentral.